This 458-nucleotide ribosomal RNA is filed under the name uncultured bacterium. Its description in RNAcentral is "partial 16S ribosomal RNA". It matches the Rfam family "Bacterial small subunit ribosomal RNA", at positions 338 to 795 of the family's 1533-position model. The record is from RNAcentral.
CCUACGGGGGGCAGCAGUGAGGAAUAUUGGUCAAUGGGCGAGAGCCUGCACCAGCCAAGUCGCGUGAGGGAGUACUGCCCUAUGGGUUGUAAACCUCUUUUGUCGGGGAGCAAAAGCCGGACGUGUCCGGCUGUGAGAGUACGCGAAGAAAAAGCAUCGGCUAACUCCGUGCCAGCAGCCGCGGUAAUAUGGAGGAUGCGAGCGUUAGCCGGAUUUAUUGGGGUUAAAGGGUGCGCAGGCGGAUUUUUAAGUCAGCGGUCAAAUCGUGGGGCUCAACCCCAUCCAGCCGUUGAAACUGGGGAUCUAGAGUGUGCGAGAGGUAUGCGGAAUGUGUGGUGUAGCGGUGAAAUGCAUAGAUAUCACGCAGAACCCCGAUUGCGAAGGCAGCAUACCGGUGCACAACUGACGCUCAGGCACGAAAGCGUGGGUAUCGAACAGGAUUAGAUACCCGGGUAGUC